Molecule: ribosomal RNA, 246 nt
Filed under: uncultured bacterium
Lineage: Bacteria
Description: partial 16S ribosomal RNA
Rfam family: Bacterial small subunit ribosomal RNA
Source: RNAcentral
AGUAACGCGUGGGUAACCUGCCUCAUACAGGGGGAUAACAGUUAGAAAUGACUGCUAAUACCGCAUAAGCGCACAGUGCUGCAUGGCACAGUGUGAAAAACUCCGGUGGUAUGAGAUGGACCCGCGUCUGAUUAGCUAGUUGGUGGGGUAACGGCUUACCAAGGCGACGAUCAGUAGCCGGCCUGAGAGGGUGAACGGCCACAUUGGGACUGAGACACGGCCCAAACUCCUACGGGAGGCAGCAUG